RNAcentral lists this long non-coding RNA (845 nucleotides) under Solanum tuberosum (potato). RNAcentral's name for it is "long non-coding RNA (STUB_LNC000429)". Lineage: Eukaryota; Viridiplantae; Streptophyta; Magnoliopsida; Solanales; Solanaceae. The record is from RNAcentral.
AUGGUGAUGUAAAGUGAAGCCAGAGGAAACUUGCUAGAGAAUAAAUGACUGUGAACUGCCCUUCCUCUUCCCGGAACAAGUGGGAUCCCAAAGCAGCGGCCAACGUUGCACAGAGCAGAGUAACAAACACCUAUAGUUUCAGCAAAAACUAAUCAAUACAUACCAUUUUGGAAAGUUUGAAAAUGCUUUCCACCAUUAAGCUGUUCAAAUUCUAACUAUAACUUGAUGUUUUAUACUCUCAUAUAAACCAAGUCAGAUGUGUGUAAAAUUCUAACUCAAAAACAACUUUCAAGACCGAAAUGCUAAAGAAAAGUUGCACGUUACUCCAAAUCUCCAAUCGUUUUUUACUUCAAACUUCAAAAUCUUCUGAGAAUCGAAAUUCAUCCUUGUUUCUUACUGAACUACAAGAAACUGUAAAAGAAAACUCAACAAUAUUCGGAGAACCGAAAUUCAUCAAUUUUUAAAAAUUAGGUAUUAUACAUCAUCUUCUGAUCAGCUAUUAGUAACAAUACAGAAAAAUCUCGAUUACAAUUACAACAUUUGUGAUCAAGUAGAGAAAAAAAGAAGUGGAAAUUUACCUUCUGGAAGCUUGUGCGAGCGUGCUGGGGAAUUGGUGCAGAACUCAUCAUGUCUUGUCUUGUCCAAUUCCUAUUGAAGUACAAUUUCACAGCAUUCACUAAGAAAUUCAUUUUUUUCUUUUCUUUUCGUUUUGCAGAGAAAUUGGAAAUGAUGAAGAAGAAUGAGGAGCGUCAGUUCUAUUUAUAGUUUUGCAGAGAAGAGUUAGUUACCAACGGAAUGCCCUUUUUGGGAUAUUUACGGUUUUAGUUAUGGGUAUAAGGCAGGGC